GCCUGACUGGUUCAGUCAGUAGAGCAUAUGACUUUUGAUCUCAGAAUUGUGAGUUCAAGACCCACAUUAGGCA
RNAcentral lists this transfer RNA (73 nucleotides) under Canis lupus familiaris (dog). It matches the Rfam family "tRNA". From Rfam's summary of the family: Transfer RNA (tRNA) molecules are approximately 80 nucleotides in length. Their secondary structure includes four short double-helical elements and three loops (D, anti-codon, and T loops). Lineage: Eukaryota; Metazoa; Chordata; Mammalia; Carnivora; Canidae. The record is from Rfam by way of RNAcentral. RNAcentral also lists the same sequence under 1 other name.